This 253-nucleotide ribosomal RNA is filed under the name uncultured bacterium. RNAcentral's name for it is "partial 16S ribosomal RNA". It matches the Rfam family "Bacterial small subunit ribosomal RNA", at positions 524 to 776 of the family's 1533-position model. The record is from RNAcentral.
UACAGAGGGCUCAAGCGUUGUUCGGAUUCAUUGGGCGUAAAGGGUGCGUAGGCGGCGCGGUAAGUCGGGUGUGAAAUCUCGGAGCUUAACUCCGAAACUGCAUUCGAUACUGCCGUGCUUGAGGACUGGAGAGGAGACUGGAAUUUACGGUGUAGCGGUGAAAUGCGUAGAUAUCGUAGGGAAGACCAGUGGCGAAGGCGGGUCUCUGGACAGUUCCUGACACUGAGGCACGAAGGCCAGGGGAGCAAACGGG